RNAcentral lists this ribosomal RNA (768 nucleotides) under Niphargus stygius. Its description in RNAcentral is "partial 28S ribosomal RNA". Lineage: Eukaryota; Metazoa; Arthropoda; Malacostraca; Amphipoda; Niphargidae. The record is from RNAcentral.
GCUCAGAGUAUAAGCCAAUGGAGCUUGGAAGGCUUCCGCAGAUGGUGUCCAUCAUACGUGGUGUUCUUAAGACCUUGAGUGUGGCUCGUGAAGCGAAGCAUUGAGUUUGCCGACCAGCUGUCGUGCGGGGGGUUCAGCUUGGAAGGGUUGGGUUUCGGUCCAACAGUUUUCCUUCUGUCCCCUUUUGAAUGGACGUUCAGAGCUCUUGGUCUAAUGCGGUUAUGCCCACCACAGCACGUUGUGAGGUCACCCACAGGCUCAACUGCCGAUCGCGCAUCCAGGACGAUGGCAACGAUGCGUUGUCGAUGAUGGCUCGAGAGAGACUUCACUCACACGCGUGUCUAGUCCUGGGUCGGGCGGCGACCGAGAUAAACCUGGUACGAUCCUCUUGCGACGAGCUGCUUUCUGGCCAGACCGACGCCCGGACGCCUCCACUGUGCCGGAAGCGUCAACCCCAGGCGGUGUGAACCCAGCUGCAUUAUGCAAGGUCUCUCAGCCGGGCGUUGGUCUGAGUGGUGUUAAGUCCAGCACCAUCGGUCACGUCUCGAAACACGGGCCAAGGAGUAUAGCAUGUGUGCAAGUCUAAGGGUCUCACAAAACCCGAAGGCGAAGUGAAAGCAAGACUGUGGCGGGGGAGCUACGGCAAACCCGCCGGCCUAGUGGCGCGUGCGUCGCCUGGCUUUUAGCAGAGCUGAUCCUGUUUUCUCGGUUAAUUCUUGGUGCAGGCGCAAGCUCCGGGCUCACGUACAACACUGGUCACGCCUCGCG